GUAAUUGUGGUCUGACACCAUGACAACAAUUACCCUGCUGAAGACAGUAUUACACAAGCAAUUUGGAACGAGAUGUCAUAAAGUACCCAAGAUACUGAUCCUGUUACUGAUAAUUAUUGUUCAAAAUCAGAAUCUGCACACACAUCUAGAGACAAUUACUUGAGUGCAAAUACACAAAAUCAAAUAUAAAUAAGGUAAAAUACCCAUCAGUAUCAAACAAACAAAAACAUUUUGUAAACAUACUUUAUCAACCGAAGUUGAUUGUUUUCGUUGUUGCAACAGACAAAUCUGUUUACAUCUGACCGGAAGUCACCAACUCGUCUAGCCGCAAGGAGUUAUGGUCUACUGGAAUAUAGCGAAUGAUGUUAGUCAGUGAAGGACCUGAUUCGCUUCCUGAAGCGUAAGGAUGACACUUGUGACAUCCGACAACAGCUGGGGAAUGCUCAGAUUGUGCAGAAUGACCUGAUCCCAAUUCUUGUCCAUUACACUGGCGACAAUACGCUCUGGGAAACGGUCGUCAGAUUGCUGGUAAAUCUGACCCAGCCAGCCUUCCUGUGUUUCAAGAGUCACAUUUCGGAAGUGAAGACAUUGCGCAAUAAUUACUUGGACCUCGAGUCCCAUCUACAGACUAUGAAGAAGGCCUGGGAGCAUCGUUAUGAAGAGCACAGACUUCUCAUAGAGCGUCUGCUGAUACUGAUCAGGAAUGUGCUGCACAUUCCCCCCAACCCGGACUCCGAGCAGAGAACUGAUGAUGAUGCCAGCUUUCAUGAUCAAGUGUUGUGGUUGGGGUUGUCAGAUGGGAUACCUGUCUAUAUCAACAUCAUCUGAAACCCCCUUGAUCGCCUCCUUUCCUACUACUACUUCAUGCGAUACGGGGGGAACUUUCGGCCGCAGGUCAAACGCAGGAGAAUGGGCAGUGACAUGGUACAAUUGAUUGUUCUUGAUCAUAUACAUUUGACGAGUGCGUGGAGCAGGGACAGAAGGAUUGUGACCCAGUCAAUCUCUGGCUGCAGAUCCCAUUCUUCUGUGGACAUUCCUUUAGAUGCAGCCAGGCAGUCGCUGGGCCCUGGACAUGGCCAAGUACAACCUGAUCAACCACUUCCUGCCGGUUGGGAUUACUGAGGAGCUGGGGGACUUCAUAGCCAUGUUGGAGGUCAUACUGUCUCGCUUCUUUCAUGGUGCCAUGGAGCUCUAUCUCAGUGGAGAGAGAUCCCAUUUACGACAGACAAACAAGAAGGAAUCGCCCAGUGAGGGGUCCAUCAAGAAGAUCCAAGAGUCCACCAUAUGGAAGAUGGAACAGGAUUUCUACGAGUUUGCCUCCAUCCAGUUCAAUUUCCAGAAACGUUUGUUGUUCCAAGCGGUUGACAGCAUGGAACCGGGCGAAAAUAUAUCAGAUCGGAAGAGUUACCUACUCUCUGAUGGGAAGUUAUAUGUACCUCAAGAAGUUCAAAUUCAUCACGAGAAAGUUCGGCCCAGAUGAUAGGUGCUUUCCUGCUGUGAUAUGAAUUACCUCUAUAAGUGUAUACAUGUGUAUUGAUAUUCUUGUUGAUUCUGGUGCUUUCUAUGAUGUUUUUAAUGAUUUGUUCAGUAAUACAAUAUCUGCAAAUCAUAAUCUAGUGGACUGUGGUAAGGUAGUGGAAACAUUUCCCAGAAUAGAAAAAUUAGUGAUAUUGACCAAAAGGUAGCAGUGAAGUUAAGAACCAAUUAAAGAAAUUAAUAAAUAAAGAAAGAAAAUUUUGCUUUCAUAUGUGUAACAUUUUUGCAUAAUAACGUUUAAAAGUUAAUCCAAACACUUUCUUGCAGUUAAUGGGUGAUUCAAUCACUAACAUAAUUCGUUGA
Molecule: RNA transcript, 1839 nt
Organism: Dreissena polymorpha
Lineage: Eukaryota; Metazoa; Mollusca; Bivalvia; Myida; Dreissenidae
Gene name: heparan sulfate 2-O-sulfotransferase 1-like
Exons: 9
Source: RefSeq, a predicted model, not a curated record